GGCCGAGCAGGAGGCGCCAUCAUGUUAUACAGGUUUCUGGCCAGAAGAACCAACUCCACAUUCAACCAGGUUGUGUUGAAGAGGUUGUUUAUGAGUCGCACCAACCGGCCGCCUCUGUCCCUUUCCCGGAUGAUCCGGAAGAUGAAGCUUCCUGGCCGGGAAAACAAGACGGCCGUGGUUGUGGGAACCAUAACUGAUGAUGUGCGGGUUCAAGAGGUGCCCAAACUGAAGGUGAGCUGGCAGGGGCUGGGCAGACCCAUCAGAUCCUUGCUUUGCUGUGCUGGUCCAUCCUCAGUCUUGCCAUCGCUGGUGAGGCAAGCAUCCUGCCUGUCUGAGUGGCUUUGAGGAUUGGUGUGGGUCGUCUCUGGCAUGGUUGAUGGUGGGGUCCCCUGGGCAAGCUUUUUCUGGGGCAAGUUGUAAACUGUUAGUGCUGGCCCCUAGAGCCAGACAGCCUGGGCUCAAGUCUAGACUCCUUUGUCACCUCUGCACAAGUCUUUUUUUGGCCCAGCUUCCUUGCUGUAGUUUCUAGCAUAACACCAGGGAUGUGGUGGUAAAAGUUCCUAGAGAGAAAGUGUUGAGAACAGCUGCUGUCAGCCCAGGGUGCUCCGGGUAGUAAACGAUAGUGUUGGUUACCAGGGCUCUGCUGCGCCAAGGCAGUGGAGGGUGA
RNAcentral lists this small RNA (667 nucleotides) under Pan troglodytes (chimpanzee). RNAcentral describes it as "retained intron". The record is from RNAcentral. Lineage: Eukaryota; Metazoa; Chordata; Mammalia; Primates; Hominidae.